Molecule: ribosomal RNA, 367 nt
Filed under: uncultured bacterium
Lineage: Bacteria
Description: bacterial SSU rRNA
Rfam family: Bacterial small subunit ribosomal RNA
Source: RNAcentral
AUUGAACGCUGGCGGCAUGCCUUACACAUGCAAGUCGAACGGCAGCACGGGAGCAAUCCUGGUGGCGAGUGGCGAACGGGUGAGUAAUAUAUCGGAACGUGCCCAGUCGUGGGGGAUAACGCAGCGAAAGUUGUGCUAAUACCGCAUACGAUCUAUGGAUGAAAGCGGGGGAUCGCAAGACCUCGCGCGAUUGGAGCGGCCGAUGUCAGAUUAGGUUGUUAGGUGAGGUAAAAGCUCGCCAAGCCUGCGAUCUGUAGCUGGUCUGAGAGGACGACCAGCCACACUGGAACUGAGACACGGUCCAGACUCCUACGGGAGGGCAGCAGUGGGAAUUUUGGACAAUGGACGAAAGUCUAGAUCCAGCAAU